RNAcentral lists this long non-coding RNA (528 nucleotides) under Homo sapiens (human). RNAcentral describes it as "non-protein coding lnc-CTBS-4:8". The record is from RNAcentral. Lineage: Eukaryota; Metazoa; Chordata; Mammalia; Primates; Hominidae.
GUCGCGGGAGAGCCAGCGCAAAGUGGAAGGCACCUUGUACGCUGUGAAGCGGAGAUGCAGAUGUUACCCUAACCAGAAGCCCACCCCGCCACAAAUACUGGAGCGCCCAGCAUGCGUGCGCCACCCGCUUCCCUGCAGAGGGCGCCGCGGGCCCGCCUCGCCGAGCGCGGGGUGAGAUCCCAGUAGCCCAGAGCAGCCCGCGGGGCAGGCCCGGGCUGCCGCGGACUCCUCUUGAAAAGCCUUUGAUGCUGUAUUCUUAGCACAUGGAACCCUAAACCAAAGCCUGCACUGGGGCAUUUGUGAGAAGCGUGUGUGCAAAGCCUGAGAGACUCCCCUUUUGGGCAUGCUGCUGGGCAGGGGUGUUCUGGUUUGACUUUGUACAUUUGGCAGUUUUGGAGUUUGCCCACCAGAUAUGCCAUCCAAGAAGACCAAAAGUACAGCAGGAUGAUUGUGAACAAGACCAGGGACCUCAGCCCUUGCAAAAAAAGGUUGAAGACUAUGUACAUGAACGACAUUCUAGGCUAUCCU